GUGAACAUUGACUAACAACCACUUUAGCGUUUUUAUUGUUGUUAUUUAGACGUGUAUUGACAUACUGGAACACGAAAAUGACGCAUAACAUCACAGCAUCGCAUACUUACCCCAGGUAGUGUUUAAUUUGCGUUGGGGACUGGACUUUAUUAGUCGAUGUUAUCUAGGUAAAGCUAGCUAGACUAACGUUAGUUAACAUUGGCUGCUAACUGUAUGCUUUUUCACACUCAAAUAGCCUCCAUCAUGGAGGUGCUGUCGAAUGCAGCCGUGGCAGAGAUCUGUAAACUCGUAGACGACGACUAUGCAGUGUUUCGUUUGGAAAUAACUCAAAGCCAGAAAGAAAACAGAUUGCGGAGGAAACUACAGCUACUCGAACUGAAGGUGGCACGGGAGCGCGCAGAGCGCGUCCUCGCCAGUAGUGUCAAGAUCCCUGACAGGAUACAUUUUGCAGAAGGCAGGGUGUGUGACAUGUCGCCCUGUUCUCUUCUGCGCGACUUUAGAUGCGUUAACCAGAAUUGGUUCUUGGUGAAGGACAUCUCACUGGAGGCUACAGGAGCUUUGUGAAGCCAGCAGGACACAAUACAUGGAGAGAUGAACAACCAAUAACUAUUGAUGAGGGGAGCGGAACCUCAACCCAGCACGUUAUCAGGAUAGAGUCUGCAGAGGCUGCAGGUCCUGGAGGAUUGUCUCUGGUUAAACAAGAGAGGAAUGAAGGAGAGGACCCACAACACAGCAGAAGUAUCCCUACUGGUGCGGAGGACCUAUCCACCAACGCUGCGACCCAGCCCAGGACCCGAUGCAGCAUUAUGGAGUCAGUAGACAUGGAGGAUGGGAAGCCUGACCUGCUGCUGGUCAAAGAGGAGACAGUAGAAGACCGACCAGAGAGCAUUGACCUGCUGAGUGGACUAAAGAUGGGGGAGCAAGGUGGUUGGCUGGAGGCAAACAGAAGAGACUGGGCAGCCAUCUUUGAUUCCUAGACCCAGACCAAUGCAACCAAGUGCCCAAGGGACAACAUAACUGAGCAGGCCAGGACCAGAAGUGACACAGGGGAGUUUACAGAGGACCAGUUGAUAUCCGGAGUUGCUGGUAGGAGAGACUGGACCUCUGAAGCGGCUGGUCACAAACCCUGGUCCUUGGUCAGAACCAGUCACUCUUCCUUCCCGGGUCAGAACCAGGACCGCACCACAAGGGACAGUGCAGGGGGCUAAUAGAGAUCGACAAUCCUGUUCCUUUGAUACAUGCACCACAGUAUCCAUGAUCAGGAUGGGUGUUCACCACUAGAGUUACCUAGCCUAUAACACAGCACACAGCACACAAUCCCAACAACACCCAAACAAUGGCUAGAGGUCAAGGAGGGAGCUCAAAGACUAACCACCUGAGGGUGAUGGCUCCUGCUUCUGCCUCCUCUGGUGUCAUUGGGUCACAACGUGGGAGGCCAAGCUUUAGGAUGGACGCUGACAAGCAGUAAGUACGCAUGCCCAACGUGUGGAAAGGGCUUCGCUUAGGCGAACUAAACUACAUGACCAAAAGUAUGUGGACACCCGCCAGUUGAACAUCUCAUUCCAAAAUCAUGAGCAUUAAUAUGGAGUUGGUUCGCCCUUUGCUGCUAUAACAGCCUCCCCUUGUCUGGGAAGGCUUUCCAUUAGAUGUUGGAACAUUGCUGCGGAGACUUGCUUCCAUUUAGCCACAAUAGCAUUUGUGAAGUCGGGCACUAACAAUGGGUGAUUAGGCCUGGUUCAUAGUCGGCGUUCCAAUUCAUCCCAAAGGUGUUAGAUGGGAUUGAGUUCAGGGCUCUGGGCAGGCCAGUCAAGUUCUUCCAUACUGAUUUCGA
Oncorhynchus gorbuscha (pink salmon) is the source of this 1831-nucleotide long non-coding RNA. RefSeq lists it as uncharacterized. The record is from RefSeq and is a predicted model, not a curated record. The transcript has 6 exons. NCBI's taxonomy places the organism in Eukaryota, Metazoa, Chordata, Actinopteri, Salmoniformes, Salmonidae.